RNAcentral lists this long non-coding RNA (547 nucleotides) under Homo sapiens (human). RNAcentral describes it as "long intergenic non-protein coding RNA 1360". The record is from RNAcentral. Lineage: Eukaryota; Metazoa; Chordata; Mammalia; Primates; Hominidae.
ACAGAUGUAGACUGACAGUUUACUGGUCACCUGCACUAACAGCCUGAGAGAAAAGGACACUGCAUAUCACAGAGAGAUGCAUAGAUGUUACACUCAGAAAGAGAGUGAACAACUAGAAGAUGUGGAAGGCAAGCUUUUUAGUAUUAAGAGGAACCAGUUUGGCUCUGGAGUCAAGAAUUCUCAAAACAGCUUUCUGAACCUGAAUCGCACGCAGUAAAGCUGGUGUUCUCCUGAAGCCAACAUUUAUGGUAUCACCUUGCUGAUCCAGGCAAAAUGGCAAAAGUGUAGUGAACAUAAAGCCAGGGGCUGAGAUUGUGGAUGUCCUCUGUACCAAGUUUCUUAUUAUGGUAAGGGUAGAAGUUCACCAGGCUUAGAAUAUAAACUGACACCUUGAAGAAGUGACCAUCUUGUAAUCAACACUUUAUUCUAAGGAUAACAGAGAUAAAUGAUAUAAGGAUCUCUGUUUCUUAAUGGCAUUGUUGAGCCCUAAACUUUCUACUGCUAGAUAUUUUAUCGCAUGAAAUAAAUAAGCCUUAGUUGCUUAAAA